This 253-nucleotide unclassified non-coding RNA is filed under the name uncultured Pseudomonadaceae bacterium. RNAcentral's name for it is "contains 16S-23S intergenic spacer region". It matches the Rfam family "Bacterial small subunit ribosomal RNA", at positions 524 to 776 of the family's 1533-position model. The record is from RNAcentral. Lineage: Bacteria; Pseudomonadati; Pseudomonadota; Gammaproteobacteria; Pseudomonadales; Pseudomonadaceae.
UCUAGAGGGUCCAAGCGUUAUUCGGCAUUACUGGGCCGAAAGCGCGCGUAGGUGGUUUGUUAAGUUGGAUGUGAAAGCCCCGGGCUCAACCUGGGAACUGCAUCCAAAACUGGCAAGCUAGAGAACGGUAGAGGGUGGUGGAAUUUCCUGUGUAGCGGUGAAAUGCGUAGAUAUAGGAAGGAACACCAGUGGCGAAGGCGACCACCUGGACUGAUACUGACACUGAGGUGCGAAAGCGUGGGGAGCAAACAGG